CCUACGGGGGGCUGCAGUGGGGAAUAUUGGACAAUGGGGGCAACCCUGAUCCAGCCAUGCCGCGUGUGUGAAGAAGGCCCUCGGGUUGUAAAGCACUUUCAGUGAGGAAGAACGCCUGGUGGUUAAUACCCAUCAGGAAAGACAUCACUCACAGAAGAAGCACCGGCUAACUCCGUGCCAGCAGCCGCGGUAAUACGGAGGGUGCGAGCGUUAAUCGGAAUUACUGGGCGUAAAGCGCGCGUAGGUGGCUUGAUAAGCCGGUUGUGAAAGCCCCGGGCUCAACCUGGGAACGGCAUCCGGAACUGUCAAGCUAGAGUGCAGGAGAGGAAGGUAGAAUUCCCGGUGUAGCGGUGAAAUGCGAAGAGAUCGGGAGGAAUACCAGUGGCGAAGGCGGCCUUCUGGACUGACACUGACACUGAGGUGCGAAAGCGUGGGUAGCAAACAGGAUUAGAUACCCUUGUAGUC
RNAcentral lists this ribosomal RNA (465 nucleotides) under Vreelandella stevensii. RNAcentral's name for it is "partial 16S ribosomal RNA". It matches the Rfam family "Bacterial small subunit ribosomal RNA", at positions 338 to 795 of the family's 1533-position model. Lineage: Bacteria; Pseudomonadati; Pseudomonadota; Gammaproteobacteria; Oceanospirillales; Halomonadaceae. The record is from RNAcentral.